This 460-nucleotide ribosomal RNA is filed under the name uncultured bacterium. Its description in RNAcentral is "partial 16S ribosomal RNA". It matches the Rfam family "Bacterial small subunit ribosomal RNA", at positions 338 to 795 of the family's 1533-position model. The record is from RNAcentral.
CCUACGGGUGGCAGCAGUGAGGAAUAUUGGUCAAUGGACGAGAGUCUGAACCAGCCAAGUAGCGUGAAGGAUGACUGCCCUAUGGGUUGUAAACUUCUUUUAUAUGGGAAUAAAAUGUUCCACGUGUGGGAUUUUGUAUGUACCAUAUGAACAAGGAUCGGCUAACCUCGUGCCAGCAGCCGCGGUAAUACGGAGGAUCCGAGCGUUAUCCGGAUUUGUUGGGUGUAACGGGAGCGUAGGUGGAUUGUUAAGUCAGUUGUGAAAGUUUGCGGCCCAACCGGAAAAUUGCAGUUGAAACUGGCAGUCUUGAGUGCAGUAGAGGUGGGCGGAAUUCGUGGUGUAGCGGUGAAAUGCUUAGAUAUCACGAAGAACUCCGAUUGCGAAGGCAGUUCACUGGACUGCAACUGACACUGAGGCGCGAAAGUGUGGGUAGCAAACAGGAUUAGAUACCCCAGUAGUC